UCCGGCUUGACGCCGGCAGUCUCCCGAGAGUCCUCAGCUCUACCUGUUAGUAACACGGGACAAGGGUUGCGCUCGUUGCGGGACUUAACCCAACAUCUCACGACACGAGCUGACGACAACCAUGCACCACCUGUGAACCGGCCCCAAAGGGGAAACCACAUUUCUGCGGCGAUCCGGCCCAUGUCAAGCCUUGGUAAGGUUCUUCGCGUUGCAUCGAAUUAAUCCGCAUGCUCCGCCGCUUGUGCGGGCCCCCGUCAAUUCUUUUGAGUUUUAGCCUUGCGGCCGUACUCCCCAGGCGGAACACUUAUCGCGUUGGCUUCGGCACAGACAGAUUCGACUCCGCCCACACCUAGUGUUCAUCGUUUACGGCGUGGACUAC
RNAcentral lists this unclassified non-coding RNA (379 nucleotides) under uncultured Actinomycetes bacterium. RNAcentral's name for it is "uncultured actinobacterium contains 16S-23S intergenic spacer region". The record is from RNAcentral. Lineage: Bacteria; Bacillati; Actinomycetota; Actinomycetes.